Molecule: ribosomal RNA, 468 nt
Filed under: uncultured bacterium
Lineage: Bacteria
Description: partial 16S ribosomal RNA
Rfam family: Bacterial small subunit ribosomal RNA
Source: RNAcentral
GACGAACGCUGGCGGCGUGCUUAACACAUGCCAGUCGAACGGAAAGGCCCUGCUUUUGUGGGGUGCUCGAUUGGCGAAGGGGUGAGUAUCACGUGAGUAACCUCCCCUUGACUUUGGGAUAACUUCAGGAAACUCGGGCUCAUACCGCAUAGGAUCUCCUGCUCCAUGGUGGUCGUUGGAAAGUUUCGGCGGUUGGGGCUGGACUCGCGGCUUAUCAGCUUGUUGGGGUGGUAGUGGCUUACCCAGGCUUUGACGGGUAGCCGGCCUGAGAGAGUGACCAGCGACAUGGGGACUGCGGUACGGACCAGUCGCCUACGGGAGGCAGCAGUGGAGAGUAUUGCACAGUGGGGGGAAGCGUGAGACAGCGGCGCCGCGAGCGGGAUGACGGGUUUCGGGUGGUAAACCGCUGUCGCCUGUGACGAAGCGUGAGUGACGGUAAUGGGUAAAGAAGCACCGGCUAACUACGUG